AACGCAAAUUGCGCUCUCGGGAUAGGCCUGGGAGCACGCCUCUUUGAGUAUCGUUUCAACCACAACUCGAAAGCGUGCUUAAUUGCAUCGCUGACGGAGAAUGAGCGCUCUCGUUUACGCGAGACGCUUGAAAUUGAGCGAGUGACUCUGCAUCUGUUGCAAGACAAUGCUUGUCCAGUGGUGACGAGGAUAACUUCACAUUCAAUUGUGAACCCUUCCAUCGUGACUGCGAGACUGAGUGCUGUCUGGCACGAUUGUGGAUUGUGUCACGGCCUGUCUGUGUGUCAUCUGUCGCGGUGAUCGCAGAACUCCUUUUGAACUAGAUCUCAAAUGAAGCGAGAAAACCCGCUGAACUUAA
Molecule: unclassified non-coding RNA, 358 nt
Filed under: uncultured Rhizaria
Lineage: Eukaryota
Description: sequence contains 5.8S rRNA gene, ITS2, 28S rRNA gene
Source: RNAcentral